GCGGCUCUGCGCUGCGGCAGCGUGGCUCACGCCUCGCUCCCGAGCCCUCAGGCUAGGGCUGUCCCACGAGGGCCUGCAUCUUUUAAGGGCAAGCUACUGAGGACAAGGGAUCCGGGUGGCCUGAGGAGCCGGAAGAAGAAUGGCGGAGCGCAGAGCGACAGUGGGGCACCCCUCAUCUCGCCCUCAGGGCCCUAACAGAAUCCAUUCGCCGGUCGGGGGCCAAGAGGAGGAGGGCACCAAGAGGAAGAGAAAGGCGCCUCCCGGGUCCGCCGCUCCACUACCCGUCACCGGCCGAUGCUGACGCCCUCUGAUGGGUUGGUUGCCUGCAGUCUGCCGUUUAUAGUCUCCCGCCCUCUCCAGAUCCUCGGAGACCCUUUGCGUCACUUCCUGCCUCACGUACACCUUAGGAGGCGCUCUGGAAACAGACAGCCCGGGGCUAGGAGUGGGCACGCAGCCGGAUUGGGGGCCCUUCGCUGGAGCGCGGGACCCGAGGAAGCGAGGUCGGAGGGAAAAGGCGCCAGACUGCAGGUGCCGGAAGGGGUCGAGGGGGUGGCGCACCAAGCUUCCUCCUCGCGUCCUCGGCUGGCCGGCUGGCGCGCGGGCGGCAGCCCUUCCUCCUGGAGCCCUCCGUCUAACCUUGACCGGUCUUCUGGCCCUGCAGUGCAAGGCUGUUACACAAGACUUACCUUACAGUGGACCUAAAAUUCUUGCGGUUCUUCCAAAAGGAAGCUUACAUGGGAGAACAUGGAACAGGAGCAAUCCAGGUUAAUAUGGUGGAAUUUGCCCCUACUUUAUUGCAAGUGGCAAAAGUUACUCAGGGAUUGCCCUGACCUGAAGCAUCCCUGGUCACCCAGGCCCUCCACUAGAAGCUGAGCCUCAGGUCCCUUGAGCAUCAGAGGCUUGGAGAAAAGACCCUCAGUGGCCGUCUCAUCCCUCCCCAUAGUGCACAGACGCAGGAACUGAAGUCCAGUGCGCCCCUGUAAAGAGUCGUUUCUGGAUCUGGGAAGAGGGUUCAUCAUCCCCCACCUGCCUUGGAAGAAUACAGUUCCCACAUUUGAGGCUAUUCUCUCCUCCUCAGGAGGCUCAGUGACAAAGUCGCCAACACUCCUCUCUGUGCUCGCAGCUUGGGGACUGCCCCCUGCAGGCUCCAAGCAGCUCAGGGGUCACGCCAUGCCCCACCCACACCCCCAGCUUCAACCAGGACCAGGCUGCGAAGGGGGGAUGCCAGGGGCAGCGGACACCUCUCAGAUGCCUGGGGGAUGCGAGCGGGCCCCUGACUGCAGAGAGAGCAGGACUGGAGCCAGAAGCACGGUGCCCUGGGCGGCAGGAGGGGCUCCCAUUUCCCUGGAAUCUCUGCGUCUGCCUCCUCGGGCACAGUAGGGCCUGACUUGCUGAACUGAAGCAGGAAGAGAAGGGAAGGGCUGGGAGAAGUACCCUUCGUGACGUUCCGUCUCCUCACCUUACCUGCCUCUCCUCACCUCACCUCGGGUGUGCCUAUCAGCAGCGUGGCUUUGCCAGACGGAUUGAAGGGCAGCCAGGAAUGGCUCCUCAUUGCCUCUGACCUGGGCCCUUCCCUUCCACAGUCACAGAGGAGGGGGCCCACCUUGGCCUAGCCUCCAGGAAUCAAAGCCCUUCACCACUAUUCUUGGACGUACCUGGAAUUCGGGUCGAUACCAGGUGGUGGGCUGAGUUUUCCUCUCUUUGCCUCUCCGGGCUGAGGCAUUAGCUUGUGGCUCCUAAAGGGCGGAAUACUCAGUGAUAGAAUAACUUCCAGCCUUCUGUGGUAGAGUACUCUCCAGUUUACACAGCGCCUACGUACUUCUGAUUUCAUUCAGUUGCUACAGCAAGUCGGCAAGAUGCCUACCAUAAGCAUUGUCUCCACUUUACAGCUGAGAAAAUCAAGGCUCAAAGAGAAUAUCCAUCUUCUGUUCUUGCUGUGAGAAAUCAACACAAACCGAGCAGCUUAAUAACACACAAACGCAUCAUCUCACCAUUCUGUAGGUCAGCAGUGCGGGCACAGCACGGCUCAGCUGGUCCUCUGCUUUGGGUUUCGCGACAUUGAAAUCAAGGUGUCGGCAGGGCUGUGUUCCUUUCUGAAGGUCUGAAGAUGAAUCUGCGUCCAAGCUCAUGCAGGUUGUUGGCAGAAUUGAAUUCCAUGCAGUGUAGGAUGAGGUACCAG
This is a long non-coding RNA of Globicephala melas (long-finned pilot whale), 2179 nucleotides long. RefSeq lists it as uncharacterized. The record is from RefSeq and is a predicted model, not a curated record. NCBI's taxonomy places the organism in Eukaryota, Metazoa, Chordata, Mammalia, Artiodactyla, Delphinidae.